Molecule: long non-coding RNA, 2215 nt
Organism: Gadus morhua (Atlantic cod)
Lineage: Eukaryota; Metazoa; Chordata; Actinopteri; Gadiformes; Gadidae
Exons: 7
Source: RefSeq, a predicted model, not a curated record
UUCAGAACGCAGCAUGGCGUCUCCGAGGAAGAAGCGCUCUAAAGUAUGGCUAUAUUUCACGCGUAUAAACAACAAAAUUGCCACUUGCAACAAUUGCAAAAUGUCAAUUUCAGCAAAGGGGGGAACUACCUCCAAUAUGCUUAAACAUUUGGCUACACAGCAUGCAAUUCACAUCCAGGAAUGUCGCGUGUUUGACACACUCCGAGUCCUAACAAGCGAUGCAAGGUAAUCAAUCAGCAGCGGAGCUAUCGGGACGCCAUCUAAGGCCGAAGACACUUAACCUUGGUGCUCAGAAGCUGUACAACUGCAAUACAGUUUCCAACUGGGCAGCAAGGAUUCGUUCUGUUAUCGUAUGGAUGAGGAGAUCCCACAUGGCUGAAGUCGUCCUAAAGGAAAAGCAGCAACUUCUCAAGCUGCCCCAGCACAUGCUCCUUCUAGAUGAGAGGACAAGAUGGAACUCACUGUAUUUGAUGAUGGAGAGAUUUUGUUAACAGUUCCCUGCCAGCCAAGCUGCAGCCAUAGACCAGCGGCUUAGAAAGCCCAUGGAGAAGGAGAAGUAAAAAAUACUGGCCAGAAUCGGCAAUGAGGACCUGAGGAAAGCAGAGGAAUUUGUGCAGCUGAUGAGGAUGCAUUACACAUCCACACUCGCUGUCUCCAGCGAAAAAGUUCCAACCUGUGGCCAGAUAUUGCCCAUUCUUCAGAAACUGCGAAAACAUUACACUGUGCAGACAGAUGACUCAGCAUUUGUCAGUAGAACAUCUGGAAUGAUCUUUCCAAACGUUACCAGGAUGGUGAUAUCCAGGCAUUCCUGGAGGAAGCCACUGUGUUGGAUCCCAGAUUUAAAUCUAAAAUGGACAUGGAUGACAUCUGGGACAGGGUCAGGGCAUCAGCAGUGGCAGCAAACACAGAGGCAGUGGAGAAGCUGUCAGAGUCAAGAGAGACACAGGGGCAGGCAGAAGAAGAGGAUGAAGAAGAAGAAGAAGAAGAGGAGGACUACCCACCUGUAAAGCAGAAAAAGAUGACGACCCUAGAGGAACUUUUUGAAGAAGGACGGCAAGCUGCUUUCUACACAGCAGCUGCCCCCCGUUUCCACAGCCCAGAGAGUGGAUCAAGAAAUCCAGCUUUAUAGAAGCCUUCCUCCCAUUCCAACCAAAGACAGUGCCAGUCUCUGGUGGUGGAAAAAGAGUGACACAUUGCCAGUGUUGUCAGCUCUUGCUGAAAAGUAUCUCUGUGUCCAAGCGUCCUCCACCCCUUCUGAAAGGGUGUUCUCCACUGCUGGAGACAUCCUAAGUCCAGAAAGAUCUCGUAUCCUUCCUGAGAGGGCAAACAUGAUCAUUUUUCUGCACAAAAAUUGUUAAUUUGCCAAAUUUGUUGUUAGUUGUGUUCUUAUCUUUACAGAAGACUUAUUUGUUUUGUUUAUAUCAGUUGAAUUUUGUUGGAGUGCUGGAGACACCCUAAGUCCAGAAAGAUCUUGUUUCCUUCCUGAGAGGGCAAACAUGAUCAUUUUUCUGCACAAAAAUUGUUAAUUUGCCAAAUUUGUUGUUAGUUGUGUUCUUAUCUUUACAGAAAACGUAUUUGUUUUGUUUAUAUCAGUUGAAUUUUGUUACUUGAAUGCAAAUGAGCACUGUUAGAGAUUUAAUACAAACAAACGCAUUUGUACUUAUUUCCUCACCCAAUGAGAAUCGAUAAGAGAAUCGAUAAGGAAUCGGAUCGUUAAGCGGAAUCGGAAUCAUGAAAUUCUUAUAAAUUCCCAUCCCUAUACACACAUGCCCCAGACUGACAGCAAGUGUUCUGACUUUACUUGAGAGUGAAUAAGGAAGAUAGCGAUGGAGGAGAGGAGACAUCAUAUUAUCAAACCAAUGCUGAUUUGCAUUAUCAGAAGUCCUUUUUCCUCCCUGCUGUGUGUCCAACAGGCAUACGUUUUUCCAACCAAGGUCAAUCCACACAAUACUGUUUCUGACAAAUCCUGUGAAAGAUUGGGUGUUUAAAGGGAGGAAGGGUGGAAAUAAUGGUUUGGCUUUUUAUUUUUAAGGUUGAACACUGAAAUGGUUUUGGCCAUUGUGCAGGAUAUCUCCUUCACAGUAGCUUGGUCUUGACACAAAUAACCUAGCCCUGUGACUAAUGGAAGGUUUUAUAAUAAUAAUAAUACAUUUUAUUUAUAACGCACUUUAUAUCAAUUCAAUGAUCUCAAAGUGCUACAAUGCACAUUAAAAGA